ACUUACCCAUUUCAUUUAACUAAGCCCAAUUCUUAUAUUUGAACUAUUUUGGGUCAAAUAUUUUAUAACUGAAACCCACUUAUUUAUUAAGCCUAAACCUAAUCCCUAUUCUCUACUCUAUAAACACCUCCCAAAACCCCAAAAAUUUCCCAAACAAGAGAUCAAAAAUCAGAUUUUUUGGGGGUAAGUAAUCUUUUCUUUCUUUUCCCUUAAUUUUCUUUUCUUUACUUUUUUCUUCUUUUCUUUUCUUUUCUCCUUUUUUUUAUUUUUCUUCUUUCUUUCUUUGCUGCUCCUUGGUUUCAUGCGUGAGUUCAUAUAUGGGAGUAAGGGACCUCCCCUUUUGCUGAUGCUGCUGCCACGUCACCCAAGGCUGUCGUCCCCACAGCCGACGCCGGCCACCUCUGGCCGUCCAACCACCGUCGGCAACCCGCGGCUAGCCACCGCGGUGGAGACUUUAAAUUGAGUAAUUUCUAGCGUUGUGGCUAAUUGGAAAGACGAAUUGAGUGAGGUUGAAAUAAAGAGAAGUACAGGUAGAAGGAGCAUAUCAAGCAUGAUGGGAUUGAGCGAAGAGGGUUAUAUGUUACAUUGCUUUGUUUAUUUCUUAUCGUAAUAUAUUAUUUCAUUUAUUGUUGUCACUAACAUAUAAUCCUAUUUGUAAUAUUUUAGUUUGAUUUUUAAAAAAGGGCCUUGAAUGGUUCCAAGUUAUUUGUUUAAUGUAAGUUGGUUUUAAAGUUUGAGUUUGUUUUAUUAAACUUUAUUUUAUUUGAGCUUUUAAAAGUUAGUCUUC
Molecule: long non-coding RNA, 787 nt
Organism: Chenopodium quinoa (quinoa)
Lineage: Eukaryota; Viridiplantae; Streptophyta; Magnoliopsida; Caryophyllales; Amaranthaceae
Exons: 3
Source: RefSeq, a predicted model, not a curated record